CGGCAGCUGCGGCCGGGGCUGGGGCCGCACAGCGCACGCGCCCGGCGUCCCGGCGCCCCCCGGCGGGCGGAGUCCCGGGCCUCGGCCAGGACUCCCCGCCCCGCUCCUCCAAGUCCGCCGCCGCGUCUGCACAAGCGUGGUCCCGUUUGAAGCACCCGCUUCUUUCUUUCCUGGUUUCCUCUCUACUUCUCGGUUCUGUCCUAGUUUGGGCGCGAGUGGGAGGCGGGCAACAACUUGGGGCCAGCGGCGUUGGCUGCUCAGCCUCAUGGGGAUAACUUGAGCAGUCGCGUCCCAGGAGGGAGAGAAAUCAGAAGAAAUGAAAACUAGAAUCAUUUCCCCACAAAGUCGAACGACCCACUCGCGUUUAACUCCUUUCUGGGACAGUCGCCCGCAUCUCAGCACAAGCCGGAAGGACCGGGAGAGAGUGCAACUCGGCGUCUGAGCCUGGCGGCGGAGGCUGGCGGUUUGGUCCACAGCGACGCGAGACUGCGCCCUCGGGGACCCGGCGAGGGGCCAGAGCAAGCCCGCCCUGCUGCUGCGGGGGCCACGCGGGAGGGACCUUCGACACGAGCCGCGGUUUUGUUUCCAUGGAAGAAGAAAUUCACAGACCCUUGAAGCCUGUCUUAUGAAUCCCACGUUAAGCACCUCUACUGCUAGAGAAGAGAAAUGCUACAACCCUGAGGAUGACGCUUUUAAAGCCAUGUGGCUGACAGGGUCUUGGUGCUCUCGCCGGGUGUCAGGCCUGUGCCUCUGAGGUGGGAGAGCUGAGUUCAAGACAUUGGUCCACCAGAGACCUCCCGGCUCCACGUAAUAUCAAAUAGCGAAAGCUCUCCCAGAGAUCUCCAUCUCAACGCUAAGACCCAGCUCCACUUAACGAUCAGCAAGCUACAGUGCUGGACACACUCUGCCAAACAACUAGCAAGACAGGAACACAACCCCACUCAUUAGUGGAGAGACUGCCUAAAAUCAUAAUAAGGUCACAGACACCCCAAAACACACCAUCAGAUGCUGUCCCACCCACCAGAAAGACAAAUCUUAUCAAGUAUCUUUUCCAAACACAAUGCUAUGAGACUAGAUAUCAAUUACAGGAAAAAAAACUGUAAAAAAUACAAACACAUGGAGGCUAAACAAUACACUACUAAAUAACCAAGAGAUCACUGAAGAAAUCAAAGAGGAAAUCAAAAAAUACCUAGAAACAAAUGACAAUGAAAAUACAAUGACCCAAAACCUAUGGGAUGCAGCAAAAACAGUUCUAUGAGGGAAGUUUAUAGCAAUACAAUCCUACCUCAAGAAACAAGAAGAAUCUCAAAUAAACAACCUAAACUUACACCUAAAGCAAUUAGAGAAAAAAGAACAAAAAAACCCAAAUUUAGCAGAAGGAAAGAAAUCAUAAAGACCAGAUCAGAAAUAAAUGAAAAAGAAAUGAAGGAAACAAUAACAAAGAUCAAUAAAACUAAAAGCUGGUUCUUUGAGAAGAUAAAGAAAAUUGAUAAACCAUUAGCCAGACUCAUCAAGAAAAAAAGGGAGAAGACUCAAAUCAAUAGAAUUAGAAAUGAAAGAGGAGAAGUAACAACUGACUGCAGAAAUAUAAGGAUCAUGAGAGAUUACUACAAGCAACUAUAUGCCAAUAAAAUGGACAACCUGGAAGAAAUGGACAAAUUCUUAGAAAAGCACAACCUUCCAAAACUGAACCAGGAAGAAAUAGAAAAUAUAAACAGACCAAUCACAAGCACUGAAAUUGAGACUGUGAUUAAACAUCUUCCAAGAAACAAAAGCCCAGGACCAGAUGGCUUCACAGGCAAAUUCUAUCAAACAUUUACAGAAUAGCUAACACCUAUCCUUCUCAAACUCUUCCAAAAUAUAGCAGAGGGAGGAACACUCCCAAACUCAUUCUGCAAGGCCACCAUCACCCUGAUACCAAAGCCAGACAAAGAUGUCACAAAAAAGAAAACUACAGGCCAAUAUCUCUGAUGAACAUAGAUGCAAAAAUCCUUAACAAAAUACUAGCAAACAGAAUCCAACAGCACAAAAAAGGAUCAUACACCAUGAUCAAGUGGGGUUUAUCCCAGGAAUGCAAGGAUUUUUCAAUAUACGCAAAUCAAUCAAUGGGAUACACCAUAUUAACAAAUUGAAGGAGAAACCAUAUGAUCAUCUCAAUAGAUGCAGAAAAAGCUUUUGACAAAAUUCAACACCCAUUUAUGAUAAAAACCCUCCAGAAAGUAGGCACAGAGGGAACUUACCUCAACAUAAUAAAAGCCAUAUAUGACAAACCCACAGCCAACAUUGUUCUUCAUGGUGAAAAAUUAAAACCAUUUUCUCUAAGAUCAGGAGCAAGACAAGGUUGUCCACUCUCACCACUAUUAUUCAACAUAGUUUUGGAAGUUUUAGCCACAGCAAUCAGAGAAGAAAAAGAAAUAAAAAGAAUCCAAAUCAAAAAAGAAGUAAAGCUGUCACUGUUUGCAGGUGACAUGAUACUAUACAUAGAGAAUCCUAAAGAUGCUACCAGAAAACUACUAGAGCUAAUCAACGAAUUGGUAAAGUAGCAGGAUACAAAAUGAAUCCACGGAAGUCUCUUGCAUUCCUACACACUAAUGAUGAAAAAUCUGAAAGUAAAAUUAAGGAAACACUCCCAUUUAUCAUUGCAACAAAAAGAAUAAAAUACCUAGGAAUAAACCUACCUAAGGAGACAAAAGACCUGUAUGCAGAAAACUAUAAGACACUAAUGAAAGAAAUUAAAGAUAAUACAAACAGAUGGAGAGAUAUACCAUGUUCUUGGAUUGGAAGAAUCAACAUUUUGAAAAUGACUCUACUACCCAAAGCAAUCUACAGAUUCAGUGCAAUCCCUAUCAAACCACCAAUGGCAUUUUUAACAUAACUAGAACAAAAAAAUUCACAAUUUGUAUGGAAACACAAAGGACCCCAAAUAGCCAAAGCAAUCUUGAGAAAGAAAAACAGAGCUGGAGGAAUCAGGCUCCUGGACUUCAGACUAUACUACAAAGCUACAGUAAUCAAGACAGUAUGGUACUGGCACAGAAACAGAAAUAUAGAUCAAUGGAACAGGAUAGAAAACCCAGAGAUAAACCCACACACAUAUGGUCACCUUACUUUUGAUAAAGGAGGCAGGAAUAUACAAUGGAGAAAAGACAGUCUCUUCAAUAAGUGGUGCUGGGAAAACUGAACAGCUACAUGUAAAAGAAUGAAAUUAGAACACUCCCUAACACCAUACACAAAAAUAAACUCAAAAUGGAUUAAAGACCUAAAUGUAAGACCAGACACUAUAAAACUCUUAGAGGAAAACAUAGGCAGAACACUCUAUGACAUAAAUCAC
Balaenoptera ricei (Rice's whale) is the source of this 3328-nucleotide long non-coding RNA. RefSeq lists it as uncharacterized. Lineage: Eukaryota; Metazoa; Chordata; Mammalia; Artiodactyla; Balaenopteridae. The transcript has 3 exons. The record is from RefSeq and is a predicted model, not a curated record.